Molecule: long non-coding RNA, 1056 nt
Filed under: Nothobranchius furzeri (turquoise killifish)
Lineage: Eukaryota; Metazoa; Chordata; Actinopteri; Cyprinodontiformes; Nothobranchiidae
Description: lncRNA (ENSNFUG00015012653.1)
Source: RNAcentral
UUUGCCGAAGACAAAGGUACAGUUGCAGAGCUGGAGACCGCCGACUGGGCUGGAGGCGGAGCCCCUGACUUGUCUUGGGGUGGGGCUGCCGACUUGAGUGGAGGCAGAGUCGCUGCAGAAGGAACCCCCGACUUGAGUGGAGGCGGAGUCGCUGCAGGAGGAACCCCCGACUUGAGUGGAGACGGAGUCGCUGCAGGAGGGGCCGCCGACUUGGCAGGAGGUGGCGACCAGAGUGGAGCCAGCUGGAGCAGAGGAGUUGACUGGAGUGGAGGCGCCGGAGGUGCCGGAGGCGCAGACUUUAGUGGAAGCGCAGAUUUGAAGGGGGUUGCCGACUUGGGGGGAGGCGCCUACUUGGCUGGAGGUGCCGACUUGGCUGGAGGCGCUGGACCGGGUGCUGACAGGACUGGAGGAGCCAGACUGGGCGUCGACUUGGCUGGAGGUGCCGACUUGGCUGGAGGCGCAGUCAGGACUGGAGGCGCUGGACCGGGCGUCAACUUGAGUAGAGGCGCCGGAGCUGCUGCUGGAGGGGCCGCCGACUGGACUGGAGGCAGAGUCGCUGCUGCAGGCGGAGCCUCUUGGAUAGGCGGAGCCACUGUAGGCGGGACCGCUGCCUUGGCUGGUGAUGCCGGACGUGGCGCUGACGGCCUGCCUGGAGGCAGGACCGCUGCCUUGGCUGGCGGCGCCAGACGUGGCGCUGACGGCCUGGCUGGAGGCGGGACCGCUGCCUUGGUUGGCGAUGCCGGACGUGGCACUGACGGCCUGGCUGGAGGCGGGACCGCUGCCUUGGCUGGCGGCGCCGGACGUGGUGCUGAUGGUCUGGCUGGAGGCGGGACCGCUGCCUUGGCUGGAGGCGCCGGACUAGGCGCUGAUGACUGGACAAGCUGGGCCAGAGGCGGAGCCUCUUGGACAGGCUGGGCCAGGGGCGAGACCAAUUGGACAGGCUGGGCCAAGGGCGAGACCUCUUGGACAGGCUGGGCCAGGGGCGAGACCUCUUGGACAGGCUGGGCCCGGGGCAGGACAUCUUGGACAGGCUGGGCCGGGGACGGAGCCUCCUGA